Molecule: long non-coding RNA, 2675 nt
Filed under: Theobroma cacao (cacao)
Lineage: Eukaryota; Viridiplantae; Streptophyta; Magnoliopsida; Malvales; Malvaceae
Description: long non-coding RNA (TCAC_LNC000449)
Source: RNAcentral
UCUUGUCACGGGUGGCAUCUUAAACUCGAACAACGGUCCUACUUAUGACCUUUGCAUGACAUUAAUAAGGAAAUGGAUUAUUGGGAACAAGAGUUCAUAUAGCUCCCUGUCUAUGACUUAUGCUCCCAUAAGAUCUAUAAGAAGAAACAGAACGAAUCUAAACAACUCCAAAUUCUAUAUGCAGAUGCAUGUAUUCUAUUCUAUCAAACCUAACUUAACUUAACUUAACUUAGGCUACACUGACACUGUGGUUUUUAAAACAACUUUAAAACAACUUUAAACCCAAAAGCUCUAAUCUUUAAAACCAAAAGUUCUGAUCUUUAAAACCAAAAGCUCUGAUACCAAUGUAAUUUUCACGACCCGAUAUUCCCCUCGAGCCCCGUGACAACCGCCGUGACGUCCCAAUAGACAUUCAUCGCUCAGAAUGCCAACCGGAAUCUUGCAAGGCUUUAAUAUUAGUUUUCGCACCUCCCCUGUAAGCAACAGUUGUUAAGUAUCAUGUUUUGAGAGAUUAUAAACUAUUUUCAAAUCAAAACAAUAGAAAAAUAAUUUUUUUCUCACAAGGGCAUUUUGGUCAUUUUUUCUCAAAAUUCUCGAAACCAGCUAAAAAUGUAGUAUGCGAGUGGAAAACACAUAUUUCAUAAUCAAAAAUAAGUUUAGAUAUCUAAAACAUUCAUUUAAAAUGAAAUUAUGACUAUUUGAAUAUAAUUAAAAUAUUCUAUUUUCUUAUAAAAUAAUAUUUAUAGAGUUAUCGGUAAAUAAUUUUUGUAGCGUAAAAGCUAAAUAAAUUCAUACAUACUGUAAUACAGAUAACCAAAGCAUAAGAUUUAAUUUACAGUGACAUGUGGGCCCAUGAACGACCAAAAGUAUCAAAAGCGAUAAACCUACAGUUUUUGAGGAUGCAAGUCCAACUGUAGCCCUAAACAAAGUGAGCUAUCUACUGACUAUCCUAAGCCUAAAAGGGGUGAAAAUGAAGGUGGUGAGAUUAUAUAAUCCCAGUCAGUAAACAAAUAUCAUCCAAAAUAUCUAAAAUUGAGUAAAUGGAGACCGAUAAAAUAGUUUAACAUACUAUAAUUCAUCACCUUUCAACACAUUUCAACCAAAUAAAAUCAAUUCAUAUAAAUCGAGUAAUCAACAUGGCUUAUGAAUUUCUUAAAACUUUGGCUCGUGCCAAAAUCAUUCUCAUACUCAGUUAUCAGGGAUACCUUGGCCGAGGUUUAUCCCAACCGAGACCGCCAAGGUGUUUAAAAAGUUAUGUACGCAUAAAUCAUGUUUUUAUUUUGAAAGCAUAGCCGUUCCUUCGAGUUGGCUGAGUUCACCCUCACGUGGUAGUUUGACGUGAAGUGUACUCUAAAGUUUUAACCUUAGGAGUUAUCCAACUGCGCCUCUCAUAUUGAGGUAUGAAUAUAAUAGGGUUACCGUGCCCUUCUAAUAGGCUGGUCCACGGAACUCAUCCACUGCAGCGACCAAUAUAUAACCCACCAAUUCAACAAAAUUCAACAGCAUGACAUGGCAAUUAUUUUAUUUUACAGCCUCUCAAGGUAAAUUAACAGUUCAUACAUUUUCAACACAAAUACCAAUUUAGCCAUUCAUGCAAUUAUUAUCAUAAGCCAUUCAAUUCAAACCAUGAUUUAUAACACAACAAUUAGUCUCCAAUUACUCCAUUUUCAAAACCAUCUUUCAAUUUCAAGACAAUUUGAUAAAAUCAUUUUCAUUUAAUCACAUUUUGCUUAUAACACAUAAAGAUUUACCAUUUAAACUCAUUUUCCAUAAAAUCACAAAAUCGGAUAAAAACCAUUUUAGAUAAUUAAGAUGAUAGUAAGGUUACUCACAAUUUCAGGAGUCGAAUUUCGAGUACUCCGAUUCUUGAUCCUCGGAUACUAUCUCUUUACUUUUGCCAGAAAGCUCACCACCUAGACAUAAUGCACAAUAAGCCAUUUACUACAUUUGUGCUAAAUUGUUAUAAAACCAAUUCAGGUUCUAUACUAAUGCAUGAAAUGGAAUGCAAAUUGUUCGAAUUAUAGUCUAAAUACGGUGUUCUACACAAAUUCAAUUGUGUACCUAAAUAAAAUGGUAUUGGCCUAAUUCGAUCUAUCACUCGAUUAACUGGUCAAUAUGUCCAAUUUAACUCCAAAUAAUUCCAUUUUUCUCCCAAAACUCCAAAUCAUCAAACACAAAUUAAAUAACUUGAAAUAUGGCAAAAUCAUCCUCACAUUUUCUCUUGGAAAAUUUGGCCAUGGUGGGUGCAUCAACAUUAUAAUUUUUCAAGCUUGAUUCUCACACCAUAAAUCACUAAUUCCUAACCAAAUCACUUGAAAUAAAAUCAAAAUCAUCAUCAAUAUUCUACAUGGAGAAUUCGGCCAAUGAUGGGUGAUGAAAGAAUAUGAAUUUUUCUUGCUUGAUUUUCAUGUUACACAUCACUAACUAACUAAAAGCACAAAAAUAUAUUGAAAUCUAAUCAAAUCCAAGUUCAAAACUCCUCCUCCCAUGUCCAGCCAACAAGGGUUUCCUCAUGAAAACUUGAUUCUCAACCAUGGAAAAUGAAAAAUAAUGCAUAGGAAAGGUAGAUCACAAGUUAGAAUUGAAAAAUCUUACCUUUUUUCACUUGUUUCCUUGAAUUUUCACACUUUUCCCUAGAAUUCUUCCACCUAGGGUUUUUGUUCUUCUUUUCUUCC